RNAcentral lists this ribosomal RNA (468 nucleotides) under uncultured bacterium. RNAcentral's name for it is "partial 16S ribosomal RNA". It matches the Rfam family "Bacterial small subunit ribosomal RNA", at positions 28 to 507 of the family's 1533-position model. The record is from RNAcentral.
GACGAACGCUGGCGGCGUGCUUAACACAUGCAAGUCGAACGGAAAGGCCCUGCUUUUGUGGGGUGCUCGAGUGGCGAACGGGUGAGUAACACGUGAGUAACCUGCCCUUGACUUUGGGAUAACUUCAGGAAACUGGGGCUAAUACCGGAUAGGAGCUCCUGCUGCAUGGUGGGGGUUGGAAAGUUUCGGCGGUUGGGGAUGGACUCGCGGCUUAUCAGCUUGUUGGUGGGGUAGUGGCUUACCAAGGCUUUGACGGGUAGCCGGCCUGAGAGGGUGACCGGCCACAUUGGGACUGAGAUACGGCCCAGACUCCUACGGGAGGCAGCAGGGGGGAAUAUUGCCCAAUGGGCGGGAGCCUGAUGCAGCAACGCCGCGUGCGGGAUGACGGCCUUCGGGUUGUAAACCGCUUUCGCCUGUGACGAAGCGUGAGUGACGGUAAUGGGUAAAGAAGCACCGGCUAACUACGUG